This 1670-nucleotide ribosomal RNA is filed under the name metagenome. Its description in RNAcentral is "bacterial LSU rRNA". It matches the Rfam family "Bacterial large subunit ribosomal RNA", at positions 1245 to 2925 of the family's 2925-position model. The record is from RNAcentral.
ACAGGCAGAAGCCGUACUGUCAGGAGCGGUGGACAGUACACAAGAGAGAAUGCCGGUAUGAGUAGCGAGAGUGAGGUGAGAAUCCUCACCGUCGAAAGCCAAAGGUUUCCUGAGGAAGGUUCGUCCUCUCAGGGUAAGUCGGGGACUAAGCCGAGGGCGGUAGAGCCGUAGGCGAUGACCAGCAGGUAGAGAUUCCUGCACCACCAGUGUAUCGUUUGAGGAAGCAGUGACACAGAAGGAUAGUCAGAGCGCGUUGAUGGUAGAGCGCGUCCAAGCAGUGAGGCUGAUACGCAGUAAAGUACACGUAUCGAAAGGCUGGGCUGUGACGGGGUGUUAAAUGAUAUGAAGCUGAUGAAUUCACGCUGGCGAGAAAAGCUGCUAACGAGAUAUACGGUGCCCGUACCGCAAACCGACACAGGUAGGCGAGGAGAGAAUCCUAAGACGAGCGAGAGAACCAUUGUUAAGGAACUCGGCAAAAUUACCUCGUAACUUCGGGAGAAGGGGUGCCUAUAGAGAUAUAGGUCGCAGAGAAUAGGCCCAAGCGACUGUUUAACAAAAACACAGGUCUGUGCUAAAUCGAGAGAUGAAGUAUACGGGCUGACGCCUGCCCGGUGCUGGAAGGUUAAGGGAAUGAGUCAGGAGCAAUCCGAAGCUUUGAACUGAAGCCCCAGUAAACGGCGGCCGUAACAAUAACGGUCCUAAGGUAGCGAAAUUCCUUGUCGGGUAAGUUCCGACCUGCACGAAUGGCGUAACGAUUUGGGCGCUGUCUCAACAGUGGACUCGGCGAAAUUGUAGUAUGCGUGAAGAUGCGCAUUACCCGCGACUGGACGGAAAGACCCCGUAGUGCUUUACUGUAGCCUGAUAUUGGAUUUUGGUAAUGAAUGUACAGGAUAGGUGGGAGACUGAGAGACAAGGACGUCAGUUUUUGUGGAGUCGAUGUUGGGAUACCACUCUUUCAUUACUGAAAUUCUAACCUGUAGCCGUAAACCGGUAUGGGGACAGUGUCAGGUGGGCAGUUUGACUGGGGCGGUCGCCUCCGAAAGAGUAACGGAGGCGCCCAAAGGUUCCCUCAGAAUGGUUGGGAAUCAUUCAAAGAGUGUAAAGGCAAAAGGGAGCUUGACUGCGAGACUGACAGGUCGAGCAGGUACGAAAGUAGGGCUUAGUGAUCCGGUGGUAGAGAGUGGAAUUGCCAUCGCUUAACGGAUAAAAGUUACCUCGGGGAUAACAGGCUGAUCUCCCCCAAGAGUUCACAUCGACGGGGAGGUUUGGCACCUCGAUGUCGGCUCGUCGCAUCCUGGGGCUGGAGCAGGUCCCAAGGGUUUGGCUGUCCGCCAAUUAAAGCGGCACGCGAGCUGGGUUCAGAACGUCGUGAGACAGUUCGGUCCCUAUCCAUCGUGGGCGCAGGAUAUUUGAGAGGAGCUGUUCUUAGUACGAGAGGACCGGAAUGGACGUACCUCUGGUGCAUCAGUUGUCAUGCCAAUGGCACAGCUGGGUAGCGAAGUACGGAUCGGAUAAACGCUGAAGGCAUCUAAGCGUGAAACCGACCUCAAGAAGAGAUAUCCCAUUGCGAAAGCAAGUAAGUCCCCUGGUAGACUACCAGGUAGAUAGGUCGGAGGUGUAAGUGCAGUAAUGCAUUGAGCUGACCGAUACUAAUAGGACGAGGGCUUGGU